GAUGAACGCUGGCGGCGUGCCUAAUACAUGCAAGUCGAGCGAACAGACGAGGAGCUCGCUCCUCUGACGUUAGCGGCUGACGGGCGAGUAACACGUGGAUAACCUACCUAUAAUACUGGGAUAACUUCGGGAAACCGGAGACAAUACCGGAUCAUAUAUUCUACGGCAUGAUGCAAUAGUGAAAGACGGCUUUCCCGUUAGUUUUAGAUGAAGCCGGGCUGCAUUGGCUAGUUGGUAAGGUAAAGGCUUACCAAGGCAACGAUGCGUAGCCGAGCUGAGAGGGUGAUCGGCCACACUGGAACUGAGACACGGUCCAGACUCCUACGGGAGGCAGCAGUAGGGAAUCUUCCGCAAUGGGCGAAAGCCUGACGCAGCAACGCCGCGUGAGUGAUGAAGGUCUUCGGAUCGUAAAACUCUGUUAUUAGGGAAGAACAAAUGUGUAAGUAACUCUGCACGUCUUGACGGUACCUAAUCAGAAAGCCCCGGCUAACUACGUG
Molecule: ribosomal RNA, 497 nt
Filed under: uncultured bacterium
Lineage: Bacteria
Description: partial 16S ribosomal RNA
Rfam family: Bacterial small subunit ribosomal RNA
Source: RNAcentral